Molecule: ribosomal RNA, 253 nt
Filed under: uncultured prokaryote
Description: partial 16S ribosomal RNA
Rfam family: Bacterial small subunit ribosomal RNA
Source: RNAcentral
UACGUAGGGGGCGAGCGUUGUCCGGAGUUACUGGGCGUAAAGCGCACGCAGGCGGUCGGCCAAGUUCGGAGUGACAGUUUCCGGCUUAACUGGAAAAGGUCUUCGAAAACUGGUGGACUUGAGGACUUGAGGGGUAGACGGAAUUCCGGGUGGAGCGGUGAAAUGCGUAGAGAUCCGGAGGAACACCGAAGGCGAAGGCAGUCUCCUGGCAAGUCCCUGACGCUCAUGUGCGAAAGCUAGGGGAGCGAACAGG